UCAUUUAGAGGAAGUAAAAGUCGUAACAAGGUCUCCGUUGGUGAACCAGCGGAGGGAUCAUUA
Molecule: ribosomal RNA, 63 nt
Filed under: Fusarium sporotrichioides
Lineage: Eukaryota; Fungi; Ascomycota; Sordariomycetes; Hypocreales; Nectriaceae
Also listed under: 19 other names
Description: partial 18S ribosomal RNA
Rfam family: Eukaryotic small subunit ribosomal RNA
Source: RNAcentral